CAGACCCACGAGUGAUCUGCAGUCUCUACACGAACCACCAUCUCAGACCUGCCCUCUCCUCCCUCUCUCACUGUGUGUGGAAAAAAAGAUGGGACAGUUUGUUCCAUCCUUAAUAUCCGACAAGCCGAGUGUCACAGACAGAAAUCCCGUGCAGAGGGACUCCAGCGCUCUCGCUGCGGUUCUGCCAUACGAGUCGAUUCUUUUUCUGAGAGGAAGCGAAGUAGCCUGUUCAGUGAAGAGAGAAUCAAGGUCUUCACUCUGCUUCUUGAAAGAAAGGAGCUAACCUGUCGCCUAGCAACACCUCCCACUCCUGCCGAAGCCAGAGGAAGAGAAGAGAGGAAGAGGAAGGACUGAAGCUGUCUAUGAAACUGAUGAGAGAGACAGAGCUUACCAUUGCAGGCAAAGCCGUCUGGCCCCAGCUCAUAACCCUGCUCGCAUCGACACAGGAACGUCCCGUAUGUGUUAUAACACCUCUGACUGCAGGGGGCCCCCAUUGCACACUCAUCGACAUCUG
Long non-coding RNA from Labeo rohita (rohu), 514 nucleotides. RefSeq lists it as uncharacterized. Lineage: Eukaryota; Metazoa; Chordata; Actinopteri; Cypriniformes; Cyprinidae. The transcript is spliced from 4 exons. The record is from RefSeq and is a predicted model, not a curated record.